ACAGAUUGAUGUUGUAUGUUGCAAAAGACAAUACAUACUGCUAAAUUAACCAACCAUUCUUCUGUGACAGACUUCUUGGCGAAUCUCUUUCUGUUGAUUUGUCAUCUAUAAUUUCUACAUCACCUAUCAAGACAUCCAGGGAAUCUAUUUUACUAUCUAAAAAUUGUAGUGACACACUUUACUUACUGUUGUUGUCUGGUUGUGUUUUACUUGCAGUUGAAGUCAGUUUCCAAGAGCUGUACAUUCAAGGUUCAAAGUUCAAGGUUUAGUGUUCAUGCAGGGUUUAUGUACCUCAGGGUGAGCAUUGUACCUGUAUAGCAUAUUGCUGAUCUACAAGAAUUUGGUAAAAGACUACUCAGAUUGUUUAUACAAGGUGGUGAAACAUUAAACGAUGAAACAAGCACCAGGGAAAGGAGUCUCAUGACAUAACUCCUCUUGAUGCAAUUUCCAGUGUGUUAAUCAAAAGCCUACAUCAAUCCUGAUAGAAGAUAAAUGAGAAUGUAGGCGAGAAGAGUCCUGCUACGGGUGACUAGUUGUAUCUGAUGGUUGGCACUACCAAUAUGUUACUUGAUGUUCUUGUCAAUCUUCAUGGCAGUAUCUGCAUACAAUUACCAAAUACUUUUGUCUAUAUACUCUCAGUCAUGAUUGAAGGUCACCAUCGCCAUUCAUUCUAAUCAUAGAAUAUAUGAAAUUCUGUCAUUUACAACUAAAACAGCUGUACUACAUGGUGCACCUUCCACAACAGCUACUAGGGUA
Corticium candelabrum is the source of this 756-nucleotide long non-coding RNA. RefSeq lists it as uncharacterized. NCBI's taxonomy places the organism in Eukaryota, Metazoa, Porifera, Homoscleromorpha, Homosclerophorida, Plakinidae. The transcript is spliced from 4 exons. The record is from RefSeq and is a predicted model, not a curated record.